This 439-nucleotide ribosomal RNA is filed under the name uncultured bacterium. RNAcentral describes it as "partial 16S ribosomal RNA". It matches the Rfam family "Bacterial small subunit ribosomal RNA", at positions 338 to 795 of the family's 1533-position model. The record is from RNAcentral.
CCUACGGGAGGCAGCAGUGGGGGAUAUUGCACAAUGGGGGGAACCCUGAUGCAGCGACGCCGCGUGGGGGAAGAAGCGCCACGGCGCGUAAAGCCCUGUCAGCAGGUAAGAAAAUGACGGUACCUGAACAAGAAGCCGCGGCUAACUACGUGCCAGCAGCCGCGGGAAUACGUAGGGGGCAAGCGUUAUCCGGAUUUAUUGGGUUUAAAGCGUGCGUAGGCGGGAUUUUAAGUUAGUGGUAAAACGUCGGGGCUUCACCCUGAGUCGCCAUGAAAACUGGAGUACUAGAGUACAGACGAGGUAGGCGGAAUAAGUUAAGUAGCGGUGAAAUGCUUAGAUAUAACUUAGAACCCCGAUAGCGAAGGCAGCUUACCAGACUGUUACUGACGCUGAAGCACGAGAGCGUGGGUAGCGAACAGGAUUAGAUACCCGUGUAGUC